AUGGAAGUGAUUGAAACGAUGAAGAAUGGAGGACAAUCGACGGGAGCGACAACGACAGUGUUCGAUGAUUGCAAUUUUAUGGCUUGCGAAUUUACUAUUAGUAGGUUUGAACAUUGUAAUAGGGAAGCAAAUAAAGUUGCUCAAGAACUUGCUAGGCUUGCAAAAUUCUCAGCGACCAGGGAUUGGUUUGAGGAGCCCAUGGAUAAUAUUGUAUCUCUCCUUAUUGAUGAGGUAAUUGUUAUUUCUAUUUAA
RNAcentral lists this ribosomal RNA (252 nucleotides) under Triticum aestivum (bread wheat). RNAcentral describes it as "partial small subunit ribosomal RNA". Lineage: Eukaryota; Viridiplantae; Streptophyta; Magnoliopsida; Poales; Poaceae. The record is from RNAcentral.